CAAAUUAUACUUAAAAGUUAAGGGUUUCAUUUAAACUGAAGUAUUUAUCGUGCAAUUCGAUUUAAUUUGA
RNAcentral lists this transfer RNA (70 nucleotides) under Epilampra maya. RNAcentral's name for it is "tRNA-Leu". Lineage: Eukaryota; Metazoa; Arthropoda; Insecta; Blattodea; Blaberidae. The record is from RNAcentral.